This 465-nucleotide ribosomal RNA is filed under the name uncultured bacterium. RNAcentral's name for it is "partial 16S ribosomal RNA". It matches the Rfam family "Bacterial small subunit ribosomal RNA", at positions 28 to 507 of the family's 1533-position model. The record is from RNAcentral.
GAUGAACGCUGGCGGCGUGCUUAACACAUGCAAGUCGAACGAUGAAGCCCAGCUUGCUGGGUGGAUUAGUGGCGAACGGGUGAGUAACACGUGAGUAACCUGCCCUUAACUCUGGGAUAAGCCUGGGAAACUGGGUCUAAUACCGGAUAGGAGCGUCCACCGCAUGGUGGGUGUUGGAAAGAUUUAUCGGUUUUGGAUGGACUCGCGGCCUAUCAGCUUGUUGGUGAGGUAAUGGCUCACCAAGGCGACGACGGGUAGCCGGCCUGAGAGGGUGACCGGCCACACUGGGACAGAGACACGGCCCGGCCUCCUACGGGAGCAAGCGGUGGGAAAUAUUGCACAAUGGGCGCAGGCCGGAUGCAGCGACGCCGCGUGGGGGAGGACGGCUUUCGGGUUGUAAACCUCUUUCGGUAGGAAAGAGGCGAAAGGACCGUUACCUGCAGAAGAAGCACGGGCAACUACGUG